This 693-nucleotide ribosomal RNA is filed under the name uncultured archaeon. Its description in RNAcentral is "bacterial SSU rRNA". It matches the Rfam family "Archaeal small subunit ribosomal RNA", at positions 162 to 859 of the family's 1478-position model. The record is from RNAcentral.
CAUAACUACUGAAAUGUGUUAUGGCCGAAAUCUACAUGGCCUCUGAUUGGACUGCGGCCGAUCAGGCUGUUGGUGAGGUAAUGGCCCACCAAACCUGUUACCGGUACGGGCUCUGAGAGGAGGAGCCCGGAGAUGGGCACUGAGACAAGGGCCCAGGCCCUAUGGGGCGCAGCAGGCGCGAAACCUCUGCAAUAGGCGAAAGCUUGACAGGGUUACUCUGAGUGAUUCCCGCUAAGGGGAUCUUUUGGCAUCUCUAAAAAUGGUGCAGAAUAAGGGGUGGGCAAGUCUGGUGUCAGCCGCCGCGGUAAUACCAGCACCCCGAGUGGUCGGGACGAUUAUUGGGCCUAAAGCAUCCGUAGCCGGUCUUGCAAGUCCUCCGUUAAAUCCAGCUGCUUAACAGAUGGGCUGCGGAGGAUACUACAAGGCUAGGAGGCGGGAGAGGCAAGCGGUACUCAGUGGGUAGGGGUAAAAUCCUCUGAUCCAUUGAAGACCACCAGUGGCGAAGGCGGCUUGCCAGAACGCGCUCGACGGUGAGGGAUGAAAGCUGGGGGAGCAAACCGGAUUAGAUACCCGGGUAGUCCCAGCUGUAAACGAUGCAGACUCGGUGAUGGGCCGGCUUUAUGCCAGCUCAGUACCGCAGGGAAGCCGUUAAGUCUGCCGCCUGGGGAGUACGGUCGCAAGACUGAAACUUAA